Molecule: ribosomal RNA, 368 nt
Filed under: uncultured organism
Description: bacterial SSU rRNA
Rfam family: Bacterial small subunit ribosomal RNA
Source: RNAcentral
CGUAGGUGGCAAGCGUUGUCCGGAUUUAUUGGGUUUAAAGGGUGCGUAGGCGGUCUUGUAAGUCAGUGGUGAAAUACGGCAGCUUAACUGUCGAGGUGCCAUUGAUACUGUGAGACUUGAGUACAGACGAGGUAGGCGGAAUUGACGGUGUAGCGGUGAAAUGCUUAGAUAUCGUCAAGAACACCGAUAGCGAAGGCAGCUUACUAGACUGUAACUGACGCUGAUGCACGAAAGUGUGGGGAUCAAACAGGAUUAGAUACCCUGGUAGUCCACACUGUAAACGAUGAUUACUCGAUGUUGGCGAUACACAGCCAGCGUCUUAGCGAAAGCGAUAAGUAACCCACCUGGGGAGUACGCCGGCAACGGUG